UUUCCGCAGGUGAACCUGCGGAAGGAUCAUUAACGAAUAACUAUGGUGUCUUGGUUGUAGCUGGCUCCUCGGAGCAAUGUGCACGCCCGCCAUUUUUAUCUUUCCACCUGUGCACCGACUGUAGGUCUGGACGACUCUCGCACUCCGGUGCGGAUGCGAGGAUUGCUCUCGGGCUCUCCUCGAAUUUCCAGGCUCUACGUCUUUUUACACACCCCAAACGUAUGAUACAGAAUGUAGUCAAUGGGCUUGAUCGCCUAUAAAACACUAUACAACUUUCAGCAACGGAUCUCUUGGCUCUC
Molecule: unclassified non-coding RNA, 299 nt
Filed under: plant metagenome
Description: partial contains small subunit ribosomal RNA, internal transcribed spacer 1, and 5.8S ribosomal RNA
Source: RNAcentral